CCGCUAUUAUUGGGUCUAAAGGGUCUGUAGCCGGCUUAGUCAGUCUUUUGAGAAAUCUGGCCGCUCAACGGUCAGGCGUUCAGGGGAUACUGCUAAAGCUCGAGACCGGGAGAGGUGAGAGGUACUUCAGGGGUAGGGGUGAAAUCUUGUAAUCCUUGAAGGACCACCAGUGGCGAAGGCGUCUCACCAGAACGGAUCUGACGGCAAGGGACGAAAGCUAGGGGCACGAACCGGAUUAGAUACCCGGGUAGUCCUAGCCGUAAACGAUACUCGCUAGGUGUCGGCCACGGUGCGACCGUGGUCGGUGCCGUAGGGAAGCCGUGAAGCGAGCCACCUGGGAAGUACGGCCGCAAGGCUGAAACUUAAAGGAAUUGGCGGGGGAGCACUACAACGGGUGGAGCUUGCGGUUUAAUUGGAUUCAACGCCGGAAAUCUUACCGGGGCCGACAGCGAUAUGAAGGCCAGGCUAAGGACCUUGCCCGAUUAGCUGAGAGGUGGUGCAUGGCCGUCGUCAGUUCGUACUGUGAAGCAUCCUGUUAAGUCAGGCAACGAGCGAGACCCA
Molecule: ribosomal RNA, 561 nt
Filed under: uncultured Methanotrichaceae archaeon
Lineage: Archaea; Methanobacteriati; Methanobacteriota; Methanomicrobia; Methanotrichales; Methanotrichaceae
Description: bacterial SSU rRNA
Rfam family: Archaeal small subunit ribosomal RNA
Source: RNAcentral